This 63-nucleotide transfer RNA is filed under the name Amphigerontia montivaga. Its description in RNAcentral is "tRNA-Gly". Lineage: Eukaryota; Metazoa; Arthropoda; Insecta; Psocodea; Psocidae. The record is from RNAcentral.
AUUUAUUUAAUAUAAAAAGUAUAUUUGAUUUCCAAUCAGAAAGUCUAGUAAAUAGAAUAAAUA